UUAUGUUUCGUAAUAUUCCUGCACAUAUACUGAAUAUAGGGAAAAGCAGCUUCUGGAACAAUACAGUCUCUUCAAACUAGGAAUGUUAUAAUCUAAAGCUUUCAUCAUAUAAGGACUCUUAUAUUAUUCUUCAACUAGGAUCUAAACUUUUAUCUGGUUAGCAAAUGUAGAUUUUACCUAGAUUGUCACAUACCUUGCUAGUAAAUGAUUUAUCAAGUAAAGCACAGUAAAGCACAAUGCCAUAGUAUUUGAAGUAUUGUGCAUACAGCACUUGAUAAGUAUAGUACAAAACAUACAUUAAAAGAAACUUGUUUAUAGUAUGUGGCCCACAUGUGACUAAAUUGGAUCUAUGAAGAAUUGUUUGCUUUUGAGGCAUUUCAUUAGAAGGCAAGCCUACCUAGCAUCGCUAUUUCAAGCAAGAUAUUAGAUGCAGUGGAGUCUGCAGAAUUGGACACAGAUUUGUCAGAUGUGGAAUUCAGCACAUCUCGGCCUCAGUGUUCCCAUCUGAAAAUGAAGCCUGGCAUAUAGGGCAUGGAGAAGAAGGCAGAGCAGCAGGUUGGGCAGGGAGCAGAAAGUGGAGCAGCAGAUCGGGCAAAGCAGUGGGACUGGAGUGGCACUGAUUGGUCAGUUUGUGACAUCUCUGCAAAAAAGUGCUGAAUGAUUCAUCAAUCCUUAAUUUAGCAGAAGGUGCACGUGGUGGAUCCAGAGGGGGUUGCAGUGUUGUGUCUGCACCUGUCUUUUGGAUUGGACUUCACUUCUGGGACUUGUGGGAACUUCUGGAGACUUUUUAAAAGCCCCUCAAAGCAGGCUGGAUUGGGGCUUGUAAAGAAAUAUGUCCUUCACUGAAACCCAUGUCAUUCAUCAUAAAUGUAAGCAAUUCUGAUUGUUUUCACCUGUGUGCUCUGCAAUAUCCAGUCAGCUUUGCACAUGGAUGAUGCAACACAUUUGGAACAUAUAUAUGCUACCUCCUGCCAUACCUGAACACUGAGUGUGCACUAAGUCACCAAGUCUCCUCGCAGGUUCUUGGUCUCAGGUACACCUAUUAGCAUGUAUCAGCACUGUUUUAAGGCAGCUACAUUCCUUUAUUUUCUUGGGAGCCAGUGGGUAAAUAUUUCUGGGCAAUGCCUACAGCAUUUGUGGACAUGUAUUGGGUCCAUCAUACCAACAUAAUGCUUGUGUUGAUAUUAGAGGAGUCACACAUGCCAAGCGAUCUGGUGGAACCCUGGCGAGCAUCCAUAAUACUUGAAAUGCUUGAAAUGACUCUGAAUUGCUUUGAAGGGUGAGCAGACAGACAAACAUGCCCUUUGAAGCACCCCAAAAAUGUUGGGAGCACUCCCAAAAUAACCCCAAAGAAAGCAAUAAUUUAUUUGAAGUGCUCCAUUUUGCAGCAUUUCAGGUUACAUGUGUAUGUUCCACAGGCUAGUCAAGGACUCCUUCAUUCCUCCAGCAUCCCAUAGCGCUCUGCUUGAGAGAGGGGGGUUGGAGAGAACAGAAAAUCUGUCAAUGAGCACUCUUGAAUCCUCUGCAGGAGGGUGGAAGUGGAACACACAAGGGAAUGCUCAUUAACAGUUGGGUCCACUCCUCUUCUCUGAUGGAGGGAGGAGCCCCAGGAUCCAGCAAGCUCCUCCUACCUGGACAAUAUGCCCCUGCAUGCAGCUGUAGUGAUUUUCACAUGCCCCAAUGAAGGGACUGGUUGGGGGGAUGCAUGUCUGUUCAUGGCUGAAGCACUCCAUUUGUGAAGCAUUUAAAGCACUUCAAAUGUUAUGUGCGUCUCUACCUGAAGCCACAGGCUCAAGGUCACACAAGGAGGCAAUGGCAGGGUUGAGUCUUCCAGAUUCCAGGUUAGCACUUAGCUACUGAUCCUCCCCAGCCACCACCCCACUCCCCAUUGCUGACAUGCCUGUUGUGCUAACUAAAGUUUAGAAAUGGAAGUCUCACAGAUAGAUUAAAAUUGUAUUUGUACAAGAAACAUAAAAUCAUAAGGCUUUUAUGCCAAAAGGUGAUUUUUUUUCAGUGCACAGAGAAGAUGAAAGGAAGGAACUAAAUCUCAUGAGGAAUAAAACCUCCAGUCAAGACUUUCUCUUAUCAGUGGAUUAUGGCAUUUGUUAAUAGUAACUCUAUUCUUAACGCCAAGAAGAAAUUGCUAUUCUAAACCCCUGAAAUUUUCAUGGUCCCUCAGGGUUUUCUUAUACUCUGCAUUUGCGUUGCACAGGAUCAGGUCCUUAGUGUAGGCUUUUUUGUAGGAUAUUCAAUUGCUAGUUUCUAGCAGUGAUUUAGUUUCAUGAAAGAGCUGGAUUAACAUUGUGGCUAGGGACAUGUAUACAGUGUGAUAAAAAUAAGGAGUAAUUUUGCCUCUCUGCGUGACCUCCAAACAGACCUGACUACUGAGAAACAGAAGGUUCAUUUUAAUAUGUAACCUGUUACUGUUCUGUAUCUAUGAAGAUAAAUGAAUAUCAAUUAGAAUCAAAUUACUUACAAUUAGUUUGAAAAUAAAAUGACCUUUUUUUGGCUUUGACACUAAGCCUGUAGUCAUCAUUUUAUUUAAAACAACCUGCUGCUCCCCCAAGUUUGCUGACAUAAAUUUACCUUAACUUUCUUGUCAAAUGGUAACCAGUCAACAUGAGGUCUUGAGUUCAAUUUUCAAACAUACCAAAAUGAUAAAUAACACCCAAUUGUUAUUUUUCAAAGUGACCCUUUAAAAGAUUUUCAGAGGGACAAGGGUAUUAAGAAGACUAAAUUUCAUUGACAGACAAUGGAUUGAGUUAUAGUCUCCUGCCUGUGGCUUUUGUCCCCCACUGCAGCCUCUGCCCCCCCUUUACCUUCUCCCCCUCUUUUCCUCCCACUGCUUACUGUCAGGCAUGGCUCUUGCUCUGCCAGAACCAGAACCAAAGGGUAAGCAGUGCCAGGGGUUUCAGGCAUGAGGCGGGGGCAGGCUUUGGGGCAUGCAGUCAUGGGUAUGUCUGACAGCACAGGGCAAGGGACAGGGAUCAGGCUGCUUGUGUGCCCCCCCGCCCCCGCCCGCUGUAGUAGUAGAGGAGACCCAUUUAAAGGUGACUUUCCAAUAAUUAGAUUCUAUACACAGAAAAUUAUAACACAUUUAUACUUUUUUUAAUGUAUAUAUUGAUUGGGGGUUGUACUUAAAUUCAAAGUAAUUUUGGAUCCAGGUAAAUGCAGUAGAUUUUUAAAUGGGUGCCACUCAAUUCACAAAAAUCAUGGAGGGAUGCCUUGAGUCUAAAAAAGCUGAGAACCACCGAUCAAUACUAAGAGUUUGGAACCGUUCAACCAUAUCUCUGUAGCUAUGCUGGCUCUAAAACUCAAACGUAGCUCAACACUCCAAUGCAGACGAGGACUAAAUGAGAAUAAAUAAGCUGCCAUCAUCCCUAUAAUCAUUUCCAUUAUUUCCAAACAUUUCUAUAAGCACUCAUAGAGGCUGACUAGGCAGAAUGGAAAAUCUAGGCAGAAUGGAAAAGCGAAAAACAAAAUGAAUCCUUCACUCCAGUAGCAUAGAAACAUACUGAACUACUGAGAAAGACUCAAAAAGACCCUUAGGUAGAAUUUUAUUUUACGAUUAGCUGUUGUGACAGAGCAGUUUGAUAUGUUCCACCAACCUGACGGUAAUUUGUCAGACAAGUUACAGACCUGUACUUCCCUUUUCAUUUAGGAUUAGAUGCCCUAUUUUCUUGACUACAAUAAACUCCUGAUUUGCAAUUCUGAACUCAGCUAAUUGCUUCAGAAUCAUUUUGAACUGGCCUACAGUUUGAGUGCCGGGCAUGCACUAGCAGUGGUAAUUUAAUUUAUGUGUCCAUUUGUUACACAAGUAAAGAUUCUUUCAGGCAUUACUAUUAGUGAUUUUUUUUCGCCUCUAAUACAUAUUUGAGCCCACAUUCACAAGAUAUACUUUCAUGAAUAAAACAUUAGUGAGCCAAUUCUAAUGUCUAUUGGAACAAAGAAAACAAACAUUGCCUUUGGGACAUUGUAUACAAAACAGAGAUGCAUUCAGCCUUGCACAAAAACUGCUUACACAACAAGCGAAAAGUGCUUCCUGAGAAAAGUACUUAAUUUCACCGGUGCUCUUAAAAAUACCUUUGGAAAGCACUGUCUUGAUUAUCGACACACUGAAAUAAAGUCUCACCAGACUAGGCCAGGAAUUUCUGGUAAACAUCCAAAUGAAAGUCCCUGCUGCCUCUGCUCAUAACACUAAAAGGAAGAAAUGUCAGCAAUGAUCAACAGCAGGAUAAUUUUUUUUUAAUAAACUGAGAUUUUCAAAGGGACACAUGAGGCUUAGCUGCUCUACAUCCUAUUGAAUUUCAGUGACAACUGGGUACCUAGCUUCCUUAAUUUCCUUAGGAAAUUCCAGACAUAGUCACAGCUUCCAAACUGUCAAAACCAUUUGGUACUUAGAGGCAGGUAAUUAUAUGGACACAAAUUUAUGAUCAUGUAUUCCUAAUCUCUUUUACUGGAAGGUAUGUCUCAUCUUAAAUGGGAAUCUAGGUCAAGUUCAAGGCCCUUGCAGGUCUGCUAGCUGACACAGCUAACCUGCUUAAGGCAUGAAUCUUUGGCCCACAAAAAAGAGCCUUUGUAUUUAGCCACCUUUGAUUCUCCAGGCCAAAUGAUCAGGCAUACAUUUACUGCUUGGUCAACUGGGGAGCAGGUUUUGGCAUGAAUUGAGAACAAAGCUCAAACCCAUGCCUUUGGAAGUGUUGUGAGCUGCCUUAGUAGUCCUACCACUGUCCCUCCCUCCCAUCACAAACCCUGCCCCCCCACCAUCACUAUACUGGGUGCCCCUCCACUGCUGCACCCUUCCCCUUAUCCCUGCACUAACUUACCCUCCCCACUUGCUCUGGACUCACUUUCGGCUCCCCAUGCAGCACACAACACUUGGGGCAGAGGCAGGAAGCAGAAGCCAGAGGGGAAAACUGGAGAGUCCAGGUGUCUUGUGAGCUAAGAUCAAGUGUAGUCACUGCACUGGUCUGACACCUGAGCCAAAAUGCAUUUAGAAAUGGCACUGUGUAGUGGAGGGUGCACCACUGUCCAAAUGCCAAAUUGGACAGGACUCCCUACAAGAGCCUCAUAGUUAGCUUUCCGCUGGCCAGCUUUCAGUAGGAGGGUCUCGGCUACACACUGACUUUAUGGAAAUGGGAGACUCCUCCCUAGCUUGCUUCUGUGGCUGUAUGGCCGAGGGCAAGCGAAACUCAGGGGCAUCUGAAACCCAAGCCUCCGGGCUUGGGCCUUCAUGAAGGAUGCCUGCCAAAGGAUUUGGAAGUAUUUGAAGCUCCAGGCUGAAAAGUCUGGGGUGGAAGAUACUUGCUGGUAGCCGGGCCACAUAUGUAUGGUUCUUUGAACUAUUCAAAAGGAUUUCGAACUGAUCUGGCUAAUCUGACCCGUAACACAAAAAUUUUUCCAAAAUAUAUAUUUAAAAAAACUACUGCAGCCAGAACAAUGUGGGGAGUGGUGGCCAGGCAGCAGCCCGGUGCUGCAGCUUGACUUACAGGCUGCAAGUAGCCCACAGGCUGGAUAUUACACAGCCAUGGACUAUUUCCAGCUAUCCCUAAUUACCUGCAUGGCUAUGGCUGCCUGAUGAUAAGCAGCAGCACUUUCAUUGCCCAGCAGGCUACUCAAUAGGAAAGGAUUUCUGACUAGCCCUGGGCUUCUGACUCCUUGAUCCUGCUCAUUGGCGUCCCAGUUUCAUCCUUGUUCCUGAUUUCUGUCUGUUAGUUCUUGCAGGUGGCAGGAGCCUUCUGACCCUGUGUGUUCCAGAUCUGUUGGCUCCCAACCCCACCUCCACCUUGCUCUUUAUUGCAGUCUACCCCCCUGUCUUCUGACAACUGGUUCCUGGCUUGUGACUUUAGCUUGGAGAUUGUCUAUGUCCCAGUCUCUUACAGUUACAGCUGCCUGCUCGGGAUCCCUGGUUAGUCACUCUGGUCUGGAUCUCUGCUUCUUGUGGCUGUACCCAGGGUGACUGCCUAUAUCUUGGUCCCUUGCAAACAUUGGCUUCCUAACCCUUCUAACCCCCAAGUCUUUCUCAACAUGUCAGAUAUGCCUACCCCUCUGUGUUAACCACUUUGUAAAGAUUUUAGGACCAGCUAUACUCAAGCCAGAGGGCGUAUGUUAGCCCAAACAGUGUUGCCAGAUUUGAAAAAUAGUUAUAUUUUACUGAGACUUCAGAAUUAUUGUAUUUAAUAACAGUGAUUGUACAUUACAAAAAAAAAGAAAGAAAAUAGUAAUGAAAAUGGUUUUUGUCUUUAAUGUAUCAUCAAAUUUUGAUCAUAUAUUUGCUAUUUUUAGUGUUGUAAAUAAUAUAUUGAUGCUUACAGUCUCUUGUCACCUCUGAAGUUUGAGUGUCCAAUGCUCCCAGUGCUACAUUUAUGUUGAGAAGCAGCCUUACAUGUUACAUGCAUUGUGUCACAACCCAAGGGUGUGAUUUUUUUUUUUGUGUGCGCGCUUCGGCACUGCUGAAUUAUUUUCCUGCUGUUUGUAGCUUUCUUUGCAGGGUGCAUUUCUUCAUUGCAGCACAGAAAUGCACGUUGCAAGGAGUUCCCGCCAUUUGUAUUUAAAUUUGUGCCCCACUAUUGGUCAGUUCUAAAUUAUUCCUAUGUGGCAGCUAGCGAUUGGCUUGCUAGCCGUAUAAGAGGCUUGAGUGGUUUCCACCCAAGUUGGAGAACUUUGAACACGCUGCAGAGUGCCUCUAAGGAGAUUUGACUUGCGGCUAAGCUGAUCGAUAGACUGAUCACCUAUCGAUUCUUUUCCCCGUCGCCGAACGAUCCCUCGACGUACCCUUCCCUGCGCACAAAGUUCCAUGGAGCCUCGAAAACUUCAUGUGAGCGAAUCAGAGUUCUUUCCGAGUCCUUAAACUAGGAUUUAAGUGAAGUAUUCCUGGAAACGUUCCAGCCUACACCACGACCAUCUUCGGUGUAAGUAAACAAUC
RNA transcript from Alligator mississippiensis (American alligator), 6925 nucleotides. It is a transcript of the gene named endogenous retroviral envelope protein HEMO-like, with no coding region annotated. NCBI's taxonomy places the organism in Eukaryota, Metazoa, Chordata, Crocodylia, Alligatoridae. The transcript is spliced from 6 exons. The record is from RefSeq and is a predicted model, not a curated record.